This 260-nucleotide ribosomal RNA is filed under the name uncultured bacterium. RNAcentral describes it as "partial 16S ribosomal RNA". It matches the Rfam family "Bacterial small subunit ribosomal RNA", at positions 793 to 1055 of the family's 1533-position model. The record is from RNAcentral.
GUCCACGCCCUAAACUAUGGAUACUCGACAUACGCGAUACACAGUGUGUGUCUGAGCGAAAGCAUUAAGUAUCCCACCUGGGAAGUACGAUCGCAAGAUUGAAACUCAAAGGAAUUGGCGGGGUCCGCACAAGCGGUGGAGCAUGUGGUUUAAUUCGAUGAUACGCGAGGAACCUUACCUGGGCUAGAAUGCUGGGAGACCGGUGGUGAAAGCCAUCUUUGUAGCAAUACACUGCCAGUAAGGUGCUGCAUGGCUGUCGU